This 464-nucleotide ribosomal RNA is filed under the name uncultured bacterium. RNAcentral's name for it is "partial 16S ribosomal RNA". It matches the Rfam family "Bacterial small subunit ribosomal RNA", at positions 339 to 795 of the family's 1533-position model. The record is from RNAcentral.
CUACGGGGGGCUCCAGUGGGGAAUAUUGCACAAUGGGCGCAAGCCUGAUGCAGCCAUGCCGCGUGUAUGAAGAAGGCCUUCGGGUUGUAAAGUACUUUCAGCGGGGAGGAAGGGAGUAAAGUUAAUACCUUUGCUCAUUGACGUUACCCGCAGAAGAAGCACCGGCUAACUCCGUGCCAGCAGCCGCGGUAAUACGGAGGGUGCAAGCGUUAAUCGGAAUUACUGGGCGUAAAGCGCACGCAGGCGGGUUGUUAAGUCGGAUGUGAAAUCCCCGGGCUCAACCUGGGAACUGCAUCUGAUACUGGCAAGCUUGGGUCUCGUAGAGGGGGGUAGAAUUCCAGGUGUAGCGGUGAAAUGCGUAGAGAUCUGGAGGAAUACCGGUGGCGAAGGCGGCCCCCUGGACGAAGACUGACGCUCAGGUGCGAAAGCGUGGGGAGCAAACAGGAUUAGAUACCCUCGUAGUC